This 430-nucleotide ribosomal RNA is filed under the name Staphylococcus aureus. RNAcentral's name for it is "bacterial SSU rRNA". It matches the Rfam family "Bacterial small subunit ribosomal RNA", at positions 254 to 676 of the family's 1533-position model. Lineage: Bacteria; Bacillati; Bacillota; Bacilli; Caryophanales; Staphylococcaceae. The record is from RNAcentral.
AAGGUAACGGCUUACCAAGGCAACGAUGCAUAGCCGACCUGAGAGGGUGAUCGGCCACACUGGAACUGAGACACGGUCCAGACUCCUACGGGAGGCAGCAGUAGGGAAUCUUCCGCAAUGGGCGAAAGCCUGACGGAGCAACGCCGCGUGAGUGAUGAAGGUCUUCGGAUCGUAAAACUCUGUUAUUAGGGAAGAACAUAUGUGUAAGUAACUGUGCACAUCUUGACGGUACCUAAUCAGAAAGCCACGGCUAACUACGUGCCAGCAGCCGCGGUAAUACGUAGGUGGCAAGCGUUAUCCGGAAUUAUUGGGCGUAAAGCGCGCGUAGGCGGUUUUUUAAGUCUGAUGUGAAAGCCCACGGCUCAACCGUGGAGGGUCAUUGGAAACUGGAAAACUUGAGUGCAGAAGAGGAAAGUGGAAUUCCAUGUGU